Molecule: unclassified non-coding RNA, 253 nt
Filed under: uncultured Gammaproteobacteria bacterium
Lineage: Bacteria; Pseudomonadati; Pseudomonadota; Gammaproteobacteria
Description: contains 16S-23S intergenic spacer region
Rfam family: Bacterial small subunit ribosomal RNA
Source: RNAcentral
UACAGAGGGUGCAAGCGUUAAUCGGAUUGACUGGGCGUAAAGGGCGUGUAGGCGGCGAUUUAAGUGAGUUGUGAAACCCCUGGGCUUAACCGAGGAAUGGCAAUUUAUACUGGAUGGCUUGAGUAUUGGAGAGGGAAGUAGAAUUUCCGGUGUAGCGGUGAAAUGCGUAGAGAUCGGAAAGAAUACCGGUGGCGAAGGCGGCUUCCUGGCCAAAGACUGACGCUAAAGCGCGAAGGCGUGGGUAGCAAACAGG